AUUGCUUCCUGGCCUUUUGGCUAAGAUCAAGUGUAGUAUCUGUUCUUAUCAGUUUAAAUGGUGAAAUUAAUUUACAAACUAGUAAAAUAAGGAUAUGUUUUAAAAAAUUAAACCUCAC
Molecule: small nuclear RNA, 118 nt
Organism: Heterocephalus glaber (naked mole-rat)
Lineage: Eukaryota; Metazoa; Chordata; Mammalia; Rodentia; Bathyergidae
Gene: U2
Rfam family: U2 spliceosomal RNA
About the family: U2 is a small nuclear RNA (snRNA) component of the spliceosome (involved in pre-mRNA splicing).
Source: Ensembl